Molecule: ribosomal RNA, 484 nt
Filed under: uncultured bacterium
Lineage: Bacteria
Description: partial 16S ribosomal RNA
Rfam family: Bacterial small subunit ribosomal RNA
Source: RNAcentral
AUUGAACGCUGACGGCAGGCCUAACACAUGCAAGUCGAGCGGAUGAAGGGAGCUUGCUCCUGGAUUCAGCGGCGGACGGGUGAGUAAUGCCUAGGAAUCUGCCUGGUAGUGGGGGAUAACGUCCGGAAACGGGCGCUAAUACCGCAUACGUCCUGAGGGAGAAAGUGGGGGAUCUUCGGACCUCACGCUAUCAGAUGAGCCUAGGUCGGAUUAGCUAGUUGGUGGGGUAAAGGCCUACCAAGGCGACGAUCCGUAACUGGUCUGAGAGGAUGAUCAGUCACACUGGAACUGAGACACGGUCCAGACUCCUACGGGAGGCAGCAGUGGGGAAUAUUGGACAAUGGGCGAAAGCCUGAUCCAGCCAUGCCGCGUGUGUGAAGAAGGUCUUCGGAUUGUAAAGCGCUUUAAGUUGGGAGGAAGGGCAGUAAGUUAAUACCUUGCUGUUUUGACGUUACCAACAGAAUAAGCACCGGCUAACUUCGUG